RNAcentral lists this long non-coding RNA (1756 nucleotides) under Nicotiana tabacum (common tobacco). RNAcentral's name for it is "long non-coding RNA (NTAB_LNC001479)". Lineage: Eukaryota; Viridiplantae; Streptophyta; Magnoliopsida; Solanales; Solanaceae. The record is from RNAcentral.
AAAACCCCACCAAAAUUAGCGAAUCUUAGAUCUAAAAUUCCAGAAAAACCCCAGUCUGGUUUAUUUCUAAAUUACUUUGGUGUUUCUAUUUAUUUUAGUUCAAGACUCACAUGCAUCGAGUAAUCUUGUUGAGAGCAUUUAUUCUAGGCUAGUCUCGACCCGUUUUGAAGUUACCGGAGUCCGGUCCUUUCAUCGAUUCGCGGCUAGAGUUCAUCAUUCCCGUUGCCCGUCGGGUUAUUUCGUUUACUCAUUUCUUUAGCGUUUAAAUUAGUAGUCUUUUUCCUCAUUUGUUCCGGCUCUGUAUUUUUCUUGUUUGUUUUGUUUUGUUGUUUUUCCUUCUUUUUCUUUUUUCCAGUUGGUUGAUUAAGCUUCGUCGUUAAUUGCAUGCUCAAUUUGUUCAACUAAUAAACUGAUUUAGAUUAAUUAAAAGUUAAGUACUUAGUCAAAUCUCUGAUUUUAUUUGAAAUAUGGCAUUUGUUGUUUCAUUUCUUUUGUGGGCUGUUUUCUUUAAUGUCGGAUCUGGGCUUAGUCUUGGGCUAUUUAGGUCAUAACAUUUGGCCCAAACCUAAGCAGAUAGUCUGCUUCUAGAAGUGGCAGCUGGCACUUUUCAGUUAAAAAAGAUUCCCUCCCCUCGGUUAUUUUUCCCUGAAUUCACGCUGACAGAGUAAUCACACACUCUCUCUCCCUCAUACAAAGGACACUCUUACCUUCUAUGAAAGAGGACUCUUCCUCACAUUCUAAGGGGAGGACACAAAAAAAAAGGGGGAUUUUGCAUAUUCACUCACAGAGAUACACACACAGAAUUGACUCUGUGUUUUUUCAUCUUUUUCUACUCUCAUCUCAUACGGAUUUUGGGUCAUUUUCUGGAUUUCUGGGUUUGAGUUUGAAGCUAUUGUGUUGUUGGUUUUCUGCUGCUAUUUUUGCUUGCUGUUGCUUCUGCCUAGUUUCUUUUCAGAGAUUUAUUUUCUCCUUUACUUAUCUUUGUUGCUCUAAGCUGGACUUCGCCAAAACCAGUAUCUCAUUUUCCUGUUGCUUUUGUUCCAGUCCAGGUAUUUCUUUGAACUUUAGAUUGCUAGUUGGAUGGGAAAUGUAUCUCUGAUGGAAGACGCAUGUGGAUAAUGAAGUUAAUGGAAUUAGUUUCAUUCAGCUCUAAAGCUUUGUUGCUUUGUUUCUGCUUUUGGUAUUUUGUAUCCCUAUUGUCGUAUUCUGUUUUAAAGUUUACAUAAGAAGAAACAUAGAUUUAUUGCUUGUUCAUUUAUGGUUGUAAUCAACUAAUAUGUAAAUAACGAUGAAGCUGUCUCCACUCCUCGUCAUUUUAAAAUGCUUCGUCUGUCAAAGAUCGAGGACACUGAGAAAUAAGGACAUGAGGUGAAUUCAUAAAUAACUGUAUGUGUUAUUUGGACAUUGUUCGAAUUCCUUGGAUUUUGAACUUUGAAAUUCUGUUUGUCUUUUUUUUUGUUAUGCAGAAUUAGUAUGAAAUGAACCUGUAAUGACUAUAUUUUGGGAUUUUAGUGAUUAACGAAAUUUGUACGCGGGUGACUGUUGUUUGCAUAGAUUUCCUAAGAGUCAACUAGCUCUUUUAUCUAGCAUAUAACAGGAACAUGAAAUUAGUUUUAGAUUGGGGGACCUUGUAGUUCAUAAAUGCCAAUUGCUGAAUCCCCGUGAUUUUGAGUUGAACAGAGUUCUUAGACCAUGAAUUGUGUUUGUCUGGGUCACCAUGGCUAGCACUCUGUACCGGUGGAUUUGUUACAGAAGC